This 287-nucleotide ribosomal RNA is filed under the name uncultured bacterium. RNAcentral describes it as "partial 16S ribosomal RNA". It matches the Rfam family "Bacterial small subunit ribosomal RNA", at positions 773 to 1060 of the family's 1533-position model. The record is from RNAcentral.
GUGGAUUAGAUACCCGGGUAGUCCACGCUGUAAACGUUGGGCGCUAGGUGUGGGGGGCCUCUCCGGUUCUCUGUGCCGCAGCUAACGCAUUAAGCGCCCCGCCUGGGGAGUACGGCCGCAAGGCUAAAACUCAAAGGAAUUGACGGGGGCCCGCACAAGCGGCGGAGCAUGCGGAUUAAUUCGAUGCAACGCGAAGAACCUUACCUGGGUUUGACAUCGCCGGAAAACUCGCAGAUAUGCGGGGUCCUUCGGGGCCGGUGACAGGUGGUGCACGGUUGUCGUCAACU